CCGAGAUUUACAGGAAGAAUUUGCACCUGGCAGGUCUCAAACAAGCAUUCAUGACGAACUUUUGCUUCCACAUUUUAAAAAUGGAACUUUCAAAUCAGAUUUGCCAACAAAAAAGAAAACUAAAAGUCAUUCUUCACAAGUUGCAACUUCAUUAUCAAAGCUUGUUAACAAUUUCCACUUUGCAAAAUAUCUUGAAGCCAAAGAAAAGAAUAGAAAGGCAGCUCUGAACUCAAAAAAUCGCAUACAACUCACUAAUGACAUCUUGUGGUAUAAAGACAAUGUGGU
This is a non-coding RNA of Styela clava, 285 nucleotides long. The record is from RefSeq and is a predicted model, not a curated record. NCBI's taxonomy places the organism in Eukaryota, Metazoa, Chordata, Ascidiacea, Stolidobranchia, Styelidae.